Seriola aureovittata is the source of this 3290-nucleotide long non-coding RNA. RefSeq lists it as uncharacterized. Lineage: Eukaryota; Metazoa; Chordata; Actinopteri; Carangiformes; Carangidae. The transcript is spliced from 3 exons. The record is from RefSeq and is a predicted model, not a curated record.
GGGGAUAGAGGGAGGAAGGAAGGAAGGAAGGAGGGUGGUAGAGGAGAGGAGGGAGAGAAGAAACGUAUAAUCACCCAAACAACCAUUUUUACCCAUUUUACCCCCUCUGGAUCUGUGUCGCAAGGUAAGGGGAAAAAAGGCUACUUGGCUUCUAUUCUGGCCCUCUCUGCAUCAUGAACUGCUCCGGCUUGACUUGUGUAAGAACUCCUCUCUCACACCCGGCAGUCUGCCGUCAGGUUAUCCGCCUCUCACUGCGGAUACGGUGGAGGGAGGCCGAACCGUCAGAGGAAGACACUAAGAGGAGGAAGAGGAAAGUCAGAUGGCCAGGAGGUGAAGACAUCGCAUGCCAAAAACACAUUACUCCCGAAGUUCAAUUUGCACGCGAGAUCUAUUAUUAGGACUUCUGUUUCACUGAAAUGUGCGUGUCUGGCAGCGGAGGGUGGGGUUUGGAGGAGUGUCGGCCAGAUUAUAAGGCCUGUGGUGAGAGAUGAGGGAUGGCCGACUUGUAAACAAGUGACAAGCGUCCUGGAUGACAAUUCCUAAUCCAUCAUAGUGCUGUCAGCGGUGACCGGUGAGGUGACGGACAGGACCCAGGAGAGGAGACAGCUGCUGCACGUCAAUCCACAUCAUAAUUUGAAAAGCUUUUCCACAUGAGCUGAAACAGAGGGAAAGAGAAAGAGGAAAGGACUCAUACAUCCCACCAUCUGCAACCUCCUCCUCAAUCUGCCUUCCGUGUCCCUCCUAUCCUCCACCUCCUCCUCACUUUUCCUCUUCCUGGCUGUUGAGGACUGAGAUGAUGGGGUGUCCAUCUUCAGAUAGUGAACUAUAGAAAACCAUGGUAUCCUUAAAUUUGUUGAUGGGUGAUGGGAUGGGACUUUAAUCAGAUAAAGAUAGAGUGCAUCAAAUCUAGAUGUAAUUACCCAAACUGCUCAUGGAUGUAUUCAGACAUACUCUACAUGUCCAUAAUAACUUAUUAUGGUUAGUUAAUUGAUAAACUUAAGUUUGCUUUAUUUGCAUAACUUGUUGUAGUAAUUUUUUUUUUCUAUUUCAGAAACAUACCAAUAUAUUUCUUAAUGCUGCUGCUGUAAUAAUUAUUUAUAAUCCUUGUAGUUUCUGGCUUUUCCCUGCAUUUUCACUUGUGCAAGUAAAAUGAAACUAGACUGUAUUUGUAAAAGUUUUAACCCCUUAUGUUGAAAUAAUUACAAUAAUUGCAAAAUCUUUCAAUUCUUUUUUCAAUUUCAAUUUCCUUUUUUUUUUUUUUUAACCUUAUUAAAACCCAAUAUGUAGACAAGUACUUCAGUGGUCCCCCUUCUCUUUGACACAAACUGGCCUUGAACACGAUGAAGGUGCCAAAAUACCGAAAUGAAAGUAAUGCAUUGUUAUUACAAGAAAGAAGUAUAUAUAUAUAUAUAUAUAUAUAUAUAUAGAAGAAUAUUUCAUGUUUUAUAUGUUGUGUGGGCAUUGGUGGAAGAAGUAUUUAGAUUGCUUAAGUAAAACACCACAAUGUCAAAUUGCUGUAUUACAAGUAUAGUAUCAAAAGAAAAAAGUGCUCACUAUGCAGACUGGUCAUUGUCAGUAUCACAUUAUAAUAUUGAACCAUUGCUCACGCAUUAACCUGCGAGCAGUUGUUUAGUGUUGUAGUUGGUGAAGGCAGAACUUAUUUUACCUACUUCAUCUUCUUUUGGGUUGUUUGGUCAUGUUUUAUAAAUUUGUCACAUGUUUUUUUCUUUAAAUAUUUUAACAGCAGAGUACACACAACAGCAACUAAUAAAAAUGUGGAAUGUAGUGGAGUAUCUCAAAACUGUACUCAAGUAUAGUACUAUGUACCCACUGUACAGUAUAUGGGCUCUGCGUGAACAAAUAUUUAUAUUUAGUUUUCCAAAAAGUCAUAAGCAAACAAAUAAAUGUACAGUGUUGAUGUUCCUUAUGUUUUGUCAGUUAGACCCUGCAGAAGUCGGACUCACUCUUAGACCUCUAAUAAACAAGCUGUUAUACUAUGCCAAUAAGAUGUCUUCCUGCGUUAACACUCACGUACAGAGAAUAUGAAAAUCCAUUGUGUGGAGCCACGUGCUGGAGUCAAAUAUCUCAUCGGUUCAAAAUCAUGUGAUAAGCAGUUGUCAUAAAAUAAUAAGUCUUCAUGUUGAAUAGAUUUUUCUGGUCUGCUUACCAAACAGAAGAUCAGGGUUAAAACUUAUUCUGUAUAAAUACAUUUUUGUUGCAAAUCAUCAGAAAUGUUGAUAGACAGAUUCAAUCAAACAGAAAUCAAAAAGGAUUCAAGAAAAUCAAUAAAGGAGUGGAUGGAAAAAAAGACAUGAUGAGUCCUAGAUCUUUGAAAAGAAAGUGAUAUUUGUAUUUUGGUAAAGAUACUAAUUUAAGGUGUAAACACAAUCUAGACUCAGUUCAGAUAUGAGUUGCUUGUUAGCGCCAGGUGUAAAGAGGCCCCUAUGAGUAUUAAUCUUCCUCUUGGCUGUCGGCGGGCUGAUUUAGUCACCCAUGUUGGGUCAAGGCCCUCAUUCUUUUCUUAAAGACCUCGCUUCCCUGCCAAACCGGGAUUUCCGAUUGAGGGGGCUCAAUAACAACUUUGAUGUGGACAGCGUCCUAGAGAGUGAAGUGAAAGGCAAGAGGGAGGAGAGCUGCACAAUGGCGUGACCUUCCUCCUCCUGCAUCUGCACAGAUCACACUCUAAAUGGUCACAUUGAUGCUGCUGCUUAGCUCUUUGCUAGGAGCCCUGAUGGAGCCAACACUGGGGACUGGGACACAGCAAAGCCUGGGCACCUGCCAACAGACAGGGACAAAUUGAUUGAGAUCAAGCCAGCUCUUAUUGCAUUUAACCCCCCUGCACUUACCAGUUAGUUCUGCUUAAAGUAAACUGGAGAGGAAGCCUGAAUAGAGCUGCUGUUAAAACAAGUUCUUCAUUAAAAAAAAAAAAAAGACUAUUUCAAUUCAAAUUACUAUUGUUCACUGAUUAUAUUCGCUUAUAUUCUUCUUUUUUUUUACUCUACUUUGUUCAUUUCUGUGCAGUUACAUCCUGUAAUGCUCCACACAAUCAUUGAAAAUUUUGGCCUUCGGUCUUGUUGGCUCAGUUUGCCGAGACACUUCUGAAUAAAUACACAGUCAGAAGAGACUGCUCGCAUUGUGCCACAGGCAUUGUCACUCUUAAUGAUGAAGGUGAAAUUAAAAAUCCCUCCAAACCAUGUUUUCUUUUACUUUAACAACUUAAUGAAAACAACUCAUUAAGACAAUUAUUUUCUAUGAAAGUAUUUGGAGCCAGCACUGUGUCUUAUGAUUGA